RNAcentral lists this ribosomal RNA (399 nucleotides) under uncultured bacterium. RNAcentral describes it as "bacterial SSU rRNA". It matches the Rfam family "Bacterial small subunit ribosomal RNA", at positions 355 to 751 of the family's 1533-position model. The record is from RNAcentral.
UGAGGAAUAUUGGACAAUGGAGGCAACUCUGAUCCAGCCAUGCCGCGUGAAGGACUAAGGCCCUAUGGGUCGUAAACUUCUUUUGACGCAGAGCAAUAAGGAUUACGUGUAGUCUGAUGAGAGUAUGCGUCGAAUAAGCAUCGGCUAACUCCGUGCCAGCAGCCGCGGUAAUACGGAGGAUGCAAGCGUUAUCCGGAUUUAUUGGGUUUAAAGGGUGCGUAGGCUGUUCUGCAGGUCAGCGGUGAAAGCCCGGGGCUCAACCCCGGAAAUGCCGUUGAUACUGCGGGGCUGGAAUACGGAUGCCGUGGGAGGAAUGAGUAGUGUAGCGGUGAAAUGCAUAGAUAUUACUCAGAACACCGAUUGCGAAGGCAUCUCACGAAUCCGUUAUUGACGCUGAGG